ACUAAGUAAAUCUUUUUUUUUUUUUUUUUUUUUUUUUUUUUUUUGUAGGCCUACCUGGAGUGUGAAGGAUGUCUGUUCUCUUCUAAUUGAUAUGAACUUGGUGGUGCCUCAUUUCUUCUCAAGCUUUUAUGAGCAUGGAAAUUUCAGUGAGGUUAAACACUGCCCUCUUGGAGAACUGUUCUUCCAACCUGUCCCAACUGGAACCUCGAAGGAGAUUUUUACCCGCCAGGAAAGCAAUAACGAUACCAUCUCUGAUGGCCUCUGUUGACCCUGCAAGACUAGAAUAGUUUUUAUCAGUAGCUGCUUCUCCAUAGGAAGCCAUCUCAAUUCAUCAUAGAGAGAAAAUUAAAAGCUUGGACACUGUUUUGUUUUGGUCUGUUGUUCCUCUUUACCCUCUCCAUGGAUCAGCAGAGCACAGCUGGAACAUGGCUCUAAUAAGCUUCACAUGGUGUUUGUAAGCUUGAUUUAGUGUUUUUGAAAGCAUUUGGAGCUGUGUACCUGUGGAGAAUGGUGUGUAAAGGCAGAACAGUAUUUUCCUUUAGCAGGAGAGGAUGACCCAGGAAGGACUGAGCUGGAUUCUGAAGAUUUGGUCAAACUGCUUCUGUACAGAGUCUGAUGACUUUUUGGAACAUAUCUUCCAAAAGGCAACCCAGUCUUGAACUGAAGUUUUCAGCAGCUUUAAUAAUUAUCUCUCCUCUUUGUUGUUUGUUCUAAUGCAGUAAAAUUGUUUUUAUUUCAAAAAUGGAUGAUACUGRAUGAUACUGACCUUAGCCUUGUGGUGGUUGUCUUUUUUUGCUGGAUGUUUUGUAAGCAAUUUUUCUGGAUGAUGUGAGUAUAUACUAAAAAAAAAUAUGUUUGACUAGAUAUAAAAUUUUUGACCUGUUGCCUCAGAAUUGGGUGUAAASCUAUCUCAGUUUCAGGUGAACACUGUUGAGUAUUGUAGAAUUAUUGAUCUCAUGUUCAUUUAUUCUUUAGUUCUUUUUUUUCCUUCCUUAUUUGCACUUUGCUUCCCUUCCCUACGCCGGGAACAGAGGCAAAACUUAGUGUGAACAAUCUCGCUAAGCAAUUUUUCUAGUGCUAUGACUGCUUUUAUGAAGUGAGCUCUGACCACUGAUAAAUGUUUGUGUUUGAGCUCAGACGAACAUGCUGCAGUUCUAGC
RNAcentral lists this long non-coding RNA (1159 nucleotides) under Dromaius novaehollandiae (emu). RNAcentral describes it as "lncRNA (ENSDNVG00000005041.1)". The record is from RNAcentral. Lineage: Eukaryota; Metazoa; Chordata; Aves; Casuariiformes; Dromaiidae.